This 408-nucleotide ribosomal RNA is filed under the name uncultured Methylomirabilota bacterium. Its description in RNAcentral is "bacterial SSU rRNA". It matches the Rfam family "Bacterial small subunit ribosomal RNA", at positions 1027 to 1434 of the family's 1533-position model. The record is from RNAcentral. Lineage: Bacteria; Methylomirabilota (SeqCode).
CGUGGAGACAGGUGGUGCAUGGCUGUCGUCAGCUCGUGUCGUGAGAUGUUGGGUUAAGUCCCGCAACGAGCGCAACCCUUACCCCUUGUUGCCAUCAGGUCAUGCUGGGCACUCUAGGGGAACUGCCCCGGUCAACGGGGAGGAAGGUGGGGACGACGUCAAGUCAUCAUGCCCCUUACGUCCUGGGCUACACACGUGCUACAAUGGCCGGUACAAAGGGAUGCAAAAUCGCGAGGUGGAGCCAAACCCAGAAAGCCGGUCUAAGUUCAGAUUGGAGUCUGCAACUCGACUCCAUGAAGGAGGAAUCGCUAGUAAUCGUGGAUCAGCAUGCCACGGUGAAUACGUUCCCGGGCCUUGUACACACCGCCCGUCACACCACGAAAGUCUGCUGUACUCGAAGUCGCUGAG